RNAcentral lists this ribosomal RNA (694 nucleotides) under uncultured Bacteroidales bacterium. RNAcentral's name for it is "bacterial SSU rRNA". It matches the Rfam family "Bacterial small subunit ribosomal RNA", at positions 32 to 715 of the family's 1533-position model. The record is from RNAcentral. Lineage: Bacteria; Pseudomonadati; Bacteroidota; Bacteroidia; Bacteroidales.
AACGCUAGCUACAGGCUUAACACAUGCAAGUCGAGGGGCAGCAUGGUCUUAGCUUGCUAAGGCCGAUGGCGACCGGCGCACGGGUGAGUAACACGUAUCCAACCUGCCGUCUACUCUUGGACAGCCUUCUGAAAGGAAGAUUAAUACAAGAUGGCAUCAUGAGUCCGCAUGUUCACAUGAUUAAAGGUAUUCCGGUAGACGAUGGGGAUGCGUUCCAUUAGAUAGUAGGCGGGGUAACGGCCCACCUAGUCUUCGAUGGAUAGGGGUUCUGAGAGGAAGGUCCCCCACAUUGGAACUGAGACACGGUCCAAACUCCUACGGGAGGCAGCAGUGAGGAAUAUUGGUCAAUGGGCGAGAGCCUGAACCAGCCAAGUAGCGUGAAGGAUGACUGCCCUAUGGGUUGUAAACUUCUUUUAUAAAGGAAUAAAGUCGGGUAUGGAUACCCGUUUGCAUGUACUUUAUGAAUAGGGAUCAGCUAACUCCGUGCCAGCAGCCGCGGUAAUACGGAGGAUCCGAGCGUUAUCCGGAUUUAUUGGGUUUAAAGGGAGCGUAGAUGGGCUGUUAAGUCAGUUGUGAAAGUUUGCGGCUCAACCGUAAAAUUGCAAUUGAUACUGGCAGUCUUGAGUACAGUUGAGGUAGGCGGAAUUCGUGGUGUAGCGGUGAAAUGCUUAGAUAUCACGAAGAACUCCGAUUG